RNAcentral lists this ribosomal RNA (516 nucleotides) under uncultured Oleispira sp. Its description in RNAcentral is "bacterial SSU rRNA". It matches the Rfam family "Bacterial small subunit ribosomal RNA", at positions 521 to 1035 of the family's 1533-position model. Lineage: Bacteria; Pseudomonadati; Pseudomonadota; Gammaproteobacteria; Oceanospirillales; Oceanospirillaceae. The record is from RNAcentral.
UAAUACGGAGGGUGCAAGCGUUAAUCGGAAUUACUGGGCGUAAAGCGCGUGUAGGCGGCUACUUAAGUUGGAUGUGAAAUCCUCGGGCUUAACCUGAGAACUGCAUUCGAUACUGGGUAGCUAGAGUUUGAGAGAGGUGGGUGGAAUUUCCGGUGUAGCAGUGAAAUGCGUAGAGAUCGGAAGGAACACCAGUGGCGAAGGCGGCCCACUGGCUCAAAACUGACGCUGAGACGCGAAAGCGUGGGGAGCAAACAGGAUUAGAUACCCUGGUAGUCCACGCCGUAAACGAUGUCUACUAGCCGUUGGGUGCUUUUAAGUACUUAGUGGCGCAGCUAACGCGAUAAGUAGACCGCCUGGGGAGUACGGUCGCAAGAUUAAAACUCAAAUGAAUUGACGGGGGCCCGCACAAGCGGUGGAGCAUGUGGUUUAAUUCGAUGCAACGCGAAGAACCUUACCUACCCUUGACAUGUCCAGAACUUAGCAGAGAUGCUUCGGUGCCUUCGGGAACUGGAACAC